Molecule: long non-coding RNA, 795 nt
Filed under: Ricinus communis (castor bean)
Lineage: Eukaryota; Viridiplantae; Streptophyta; Magnoliopsida; Malpighiales; Euphorbiaceae
Description: long non-coding RNA (RCOM_LNC001709)
Source: RNAcentral
AAGUGUGGAUAUAGGUCAAAAAAAAAAAAGAAAGAAAAGGAAGGAAACGAGGAAGAAGGAGGGAGCUUGGAGCUUCCUUUAAUGGCAGAUGGGAGAGGAGCUCGUCUGAGGUACGGUGGUGAUAGCCAGAGAAGUAGCUGACAGCAGCGAGCACGACAGCGGCACUCGCGAUGGCUUGUUUUAAAAAAAGAAAGAAAGAGGAAUCAAAGCUUCUCACCGCUGUUCAUGGCAUUCCGAUGAUGCCAGCCACUGAUCUCGAUGGCGGUCAUCUCGUUUGAGAACGGGCUUUCACAUGGCACAACAGUAGUGGCAUUGGUGACCGGAGGAGAGAGAUCCGAUGAAGGAAAGGUUUGUGUAGGCAGUUCAGUUUUUGGGCUUUUCUGGCUAUCUCCGGCGAGGUUAGGUGGAUCAGAAGACACAUUUAGACUCCCUUUGUCGCAAACUUUCUGAUGGCACCGAUUUUGCUUCGAUCAGACUCCAUUGGAAAAUCAACAGUUGAGAAUUGACUGGGAUGUUUGGGAUAAUUGACGGCUACAUCGAACAAUCGAAGGCUGGAUUCUUUUUCUAUGCAUUAUUUCGAGUCCAUAAACGUAGUCGGAUGGUCAAUCGGACUCCGGCGGCUAAAGGCGAGACGACCGAUUUAUAAGUGUUUAGGUAAUUCUUUAAUCUGUUGAUUUUAGAAAUUAUUAAUUAAAAGUUAUAUUAGUUAUUUAUUGGAGAAAAAUGAUUUAAGGUAUAUGUGUAAGUAUCUUUGAAAAUUGAAAAUAUGUGCUAUCGAAAUUGAGCAAAAUUGAG